AUUCAGAUGACGAGCCCCAAACGGGAGGAAAUGCGCAUCCUGGAU
This 45-nucleotide non-coding RNA is filed under the name Trichobilharzia regenti. The record is from RNAcentral. Lineage: Eukaryota; Metazoa; Platyhelminthes; Trematoda; Strigeidida; Schistosomatidae.